CCUACGGGGCGCAGCAGUGGGGAAUAUUGGACAAUGGGGGAAACCCUGAUCCAGCGACGCCGCGUGAGUGAGGAAGUAUUUCGGUACGUAAAGCUCUAUCAGCAGGAAAGAAAAUGACGGUACCUGACUAAGAAGCCCCGGCUAACUACGUGCCAGCAGCCGCGGUAAUACGUAGGGGGCAAGCGUUAUCCGGAUUUACUGGGUGUAAAGGGAGCGUAGACGGCAGCGCAAGUCUGGAGUGAAAUGCCGGGGCCCAACUCCGGCACUGCCUCUGAUACUGUCGGGCUAGAGUUUAGUUGCGGUAG
This 305-nucleotide ribosomal RNA is filed under the name uncultured bacterium. RNAcentral's name for it is "bacterial SSU rRNA". It matches the Rfam family "Bacterial small subunit ribosomal RNA", at positions 338 to 660 of the family's 1533-position model. The record is from RNAcentral.